AGAGCGAACGCUGGCGGCAGGCCUAAAACAUGCAAGUCGAACGGACCCUUCGGGGUUAGUGGCGGACGGGUGAGUAACACGUGGGAACGUGCCUUUUGGUUCAGAACAACUCAGGGAAACUUGAGCUAAUACUGAAUAAGCCCUACGGGGGAAAGAUUUAUCGCCAUUAGAGCGGCCCGCGUUGGAUUAGCUAGUUGGUGAGGUAAAGGCUCACCAAGGCUACGAUCCAUAGCUGGUCUGAGAGGAUGAUCAGCCACACUGGGACUGAGACACGGCCCAGACUCCUACGGGAGGCAGCAGUUAGGAAUCUUGCGCAAUGGGCGAAAGCCUGACGCAGCCAUGCCGCGUGAAUGAUGAAGGUCUUAGGAUUGUAAAAUUCUUCAGUGGGGAAGAUAAUGACUGUACCCACAGAAGAAGCUCCGGCUAACUCGUGCCAGCAGCCGC
RNAcentral lists this ribosomal RNA (444 nucleotides) under uncultured bacterium. RNAcentral describes it as "SSU rRNA". It matches the Rfam family "Bacterial small subunit ribosomal RNA", at positions 26 to 518 of the family's 1533-position model. The record is from RNAcentral.